This 497-nucleotide ribosomal RNA is filed under the name uncultured bacterium. RNAcentral describes it as "partial 16S ribosomal RNA". It matches the Rfam family "Bacterial small subunit ribosomal RNA", at positions 28 to 507 of the family's 1533-position model. The record is from RNAcentral.
GAUGAACGCUGGCGGCGUGCCUAAUACAUGCAAGUCGAGCGAACGGACGAGAAGCUUGCUUCUCUGAUGUUAGCGGCGGACGGGUGAGUAACACGUGGAUAACCUACCUAUAAGACUGGGAUAACUUCGGGAAACCGGAGCUAAUACCGGAUGAUAUUUUGAACCGCAUGGUUCAAAAGUGGAAGACGGUCUUGCUGUCACUUAUAGAUGGAUCCGCGCUGCAUUAGCUAGUUGGUAAGGUAAUGGCUUACCAAGGCAACGAUGCAUAGCCGACCUGAGAGGGUGAUCGGCCACACUGGAACUGAGACACGGUCCAGACUCCUACGGGAGGCAGCAGUAGGGAAUCUUCCGCAAUGGGCGAAAGCCUGACGGAGCAACGCCGCGUGAGUGAUGAAGGUCUUCGGAUCGUAAAACUCUGUUAUUAGGGAAGAACAUAUGUGUAAGUAACUGUGCACAUCUUGACGGUACCUAAUCAGAAAGCCACGGCUAACUACGUG